GCGUGCCUAAUACAUGCAAGUCGAACGAACUCUGGUAUUGAUUGGUGCUUGCAUCAUGAUUUACAUUUGAGUGAGUGGCGAACUGGUGAGUAACACGUGGGAAACCUGCCCAGAAGCGGGGGAUAACACCUGGAAACAGAUGCUAAUACCGCAUAACAACUUGGACCGCAUGGUCCGAGCUUGAAAGAUGGCUUCGGCUAUCACUUUUGGAUGGUCCCGCGGCGUAUUAGCUAGAUGGUGGGGUAACGGCUCACCAUGGCAAUGAUACGUAGCCGACCUGAGAGGGUAAUCGGCCACAUUGGGACUGAGACACGGCCCAAACUCCUACGGGAGGCAGCAGUAGGGAAUCUUCCACAAUGGACGAAAGUCUGAUGGAGCAACGCCGCGUGAGUGAAGAAGGGUUUCGGCUCGUAAAACUCUGUUGUUAAAGAAGAACAUAUCUGAGAGUAACUGUUCAGGUAUUGACGGUAUUUAACCAGAAAGCCACGGCUAACUACGUGCCAGCAGCCGCGGUAAUACGUAGGUGGCAAGCGUUGUCCGGAUUUAUUGGGCGUAAAGCGAGCGCAGGCGGUUUUUUAAGUCUGAUGUGAAAGCCUUCGGCUCAACCGAAGAAGUGCAUCGGAAACUGGGAAACUUGAGUGCAGAAGAGGACAGUGGAACUCCAUGUGUAGCGGUGAAAUGCGUAGAUAUAUGGAAGAACACCAGUGGCGAAGGCGGCUGUCUGGUCUGUAACUGACGCUGAGGCUCGAAAGUAUGGGUAGCAAACAGGAUUAGAUACCCUGGUAGUCCAUACCGUAAACGAUGAAUGCUAAGUGUUGGAGGGUUUCCGCCCUUCAGUGCUGCAGCUAACGCAUUAAGCAUUCCGCCUGGGGAGUACGGCCGCAAGGCUGAAACUCAAAGGAAUUGACGGGGGCCCGCACAAGCGGUGGAGCAUGUGGUUUAAUUCGAAGCUACGCGAAGAACCUUACCAGGUCUUGACAUACUAUGCAAAUCUAAGAGAUUAGACGUUCCCUUCGGGGACAUGGAUACAGGUGGUGCAUGGUUGUCGUCAGCUCGUGUCGUGAGAUGUUGGGUUAAGUCCCGCAACGAGCGCAACCCUUAUUAUCAGUUGCCAGCAUUAAGUUGGGCACUCUGGUGAGACUGCCGGUGACAAACCGGAGGAAGGUGGGGAUGACGUCAAAUCAUCAUGCCCCUUAUGACCUGGGCUACACACGUGCUACAAUGGAUGGUACAACGAGUUGCGAACUCGCGAGAGUAAGCUAAUCUCUUAAAGCCAUUCUCAGUUCGGAUUGUAGGCUGCAACUCGCCUACAUGAAGUCGGAAUCGCUAGUAAUCGCGGAUCAGCAUGCCGCGGUGAAUACGUUCCCGGGCCUUGUACACACCGCCCGUCACACCAUGAGAGUUUGUAACACCCAAAGUCGGUGGGGUAACCUUUUAGGAACCAGCCGCCUAAGG
This 1455-nucleotide ribosomal RNA is filed under the name Lactiplantibacillus plantarum. RNAcentral describes it as "bacterial SSU rRNA". It matches the Rfam family "Bacterial small subunit ribosomal RNA". The record is from RNAcentral. Lineage: Bacteria; Bacillati; Bacillota; Bacilli; Lactobacillales; Lactobacillaceae.